RNAcentral lists this ribosomal RNA (346 nucleotides) under Acinetobacter baumannii. RNAcentral describes it as "bacterial SSU rRNA". It matches the Rfam family "Bacterial small subunit ribosomal RNA", at positions 1 to 350 of the family's 1533-position model. Lineage: Bacteria; Pseudomonadati; Pseudomonadota; Gammaproteobacteria; Moraxellales; Moraxellaceae. The record is from RNAcentral.
AACUGAAGAGUUUGAUCAUGGCUCAGAUUGAACGCUGGCGGCAGGCUUAACACAUGCAAGUCGAGCGGGGGAAGGUAGCUUGCUACUGGACCUAGCGGCGGACGGGUGAGUAAUGCUUAGGAAUCUGCCUAUUAGUGGGGGACAACAUCUCGAAAGGGAUGCUAAUACCGCAUACGUCCUACGGGAGAAAGCAGGGGAUCUUCGGACCUUGCGCUAAUAGAUGAGCCUAAGUCGGAUUAGCUAGUUGGUGGGGUAAAGGCCUACCAAGGCGACGAUCUGUAGCGGGUCUGAGAGGAUGAUCCGCCACACUGGGACUGAGACACGGCCCAGACUCCUACGGGAGGCA